RNAcentral lists this small nucleolar RNA (192 nucleotides) under Suricata suricatta (meerkat). Its description in RNAcentral is "Small nucleolar RNA U3 (ENSSSUG00005007741.1)". It matches the Rfam family "Small nucleolar RNA U3". From Rfam's summary of the family: Small nucleolar RNAs (snoRNAs) are involved in the processing and modification of rRNA in the nucleolus. Lineage: Eukaryota; Metazoa; Chordata; Mammalia; Carnivora; Herpestidae. The record is from Rfam by way of RNAcentral.
AAGACUAUACUUUCAGGGAUUAUUUCUAUAGUUCGUUACUAGAGAAGUUUCUCUGAUUGUGUAGAGAACCCGAAAACACGAGGAGGAGGUGCAGUGUCCCUUCCUGAGUGUGAAGCUGACUUUGGGUGUUGUUUCAUGCAGUUGCCCUUUGUUAUUGAUCAUUGAAGAGGGAAGGGAUGCCGUUUGAGUGGU